RNAcentral lists this ribosomal RNA (1343 nucleotides) under uncultured bacterium. RNAcentral's name for it is "16S ribosomal RNA". It matches the Rfam family "Bacterial small subunit ribosomal RNA", at positions 28 to 1378 of the family's 1533-position model. The record is from RNAcentral.
GACGAACGCUGGCGGCGUGCUUAACACAUGCAAGUCGAACGGAAAGGCCCUGCUUUUGUGGGGUGCUCGAGUGGCGAACGGGUGAGUAACACGUGAGUAACCUGCCCUUGACUUUGGGAUAACUUCAGGAAACUGGGGCUAAUACCGGAUAGGAGCUCCUGCUGCAUGGUGGGGGUUGGAAAGUUUCGGCGGUUGGGGAUGGACUCGCGGCUUAUCAGCUUGUUGGUGGGGUAGUGGCUUACCAAGGCUUUGACGGGUAGCCGGCCUGAGAGGGUGACCGGCCACAUUGGGACUGAGAUACGGCCCAGACUCCUACGGGAGGCAGCAGUGGGGAAUAUUGCACAAUGGGCGGAAGCCUGAUGCAGCAACGCCGCGUGCGGGAUGACGGCCUUCGGGUUGUAAACCGCUUUCGCCUGUGACGAAGCGUGAGUGACGGUAAUGGGUAAAGAAGCACCGGCUAACUACGUGCCAGCAGCCGCGGUGAUACGUAGGGUGCGAGCGUUGUCCGGAUUUAUUGGGCGUAAAGGGCUCGUAGGUGGUUGAUCGCGUCGGAAGUGUAAUCUUGGGGCUUAACCCUGAGCGUGCUUUCGAUACGGGUUGACUUGAGGAAGGUAGGGGAGAAUGGAAUUCCUGGUGGAGCGGUGGAAUGCGCAGAUAUCAGGAGGAACACCAGUGGCGAAGGCGGUUCUCUGGGCCUUUCCUGACGCUGAGGAGCGAAAGCGUGGGGAGCGAACAGGCUUAGAUACCCUGGUAGUCCACGCUGUAAACGGUGGGUACUGGGUGUGGGGUCCAUUCCACGGGUUCCGUGCCGUAGCUAACGCUUUAAGUACCCCGCCUGGGGAGUACGGCCGCAAGGCUAAAACUCAAAGGAAUUGACGGGGCCCCGCACAAGCGGCGGAGCAUGCGGAUUAAUUCGAUGCAACGCGUAGAACCUUACCUGGGUUUGACAUGGAUCGGGAGUGCUCAGAGAUGGGUGUGCCUCUUUUGGGGUCGGUUCACAGGUGGUGCAUGGCUGUCGUCAGCUCGUGUCGUGAGAUGUUGGGUUAAGUCCCGCAACGAGCGCAACCCUUGUUCACUGUUGCCAGCACGUUAUGGUGGGGACUCAGUGGAGACCGCCGGGGUCAACUCGGAGGAAGGUGGGGAUGACGUCAAGCCAUCAUGCCCCUUAUGUCCAGGGCUUCACGCAUGCUACAAUGGCUGGUACAGAGAGUGGCGAGCCUGUGAGGGUGAGCGAAUCUCGGAAAGCCGGUCUCAGUUCGGAUUGGGGUCUGCAACUCGACCUCAUGAAGUCGGAGUCGCUAGUAAUCGCAGAUCAGCAACGCUGCGGUGAAUACGUUCCCGGG